Pimephales promelas (fathead minnow) is the source of this 1008-nucleotide non-coding RNA. Lineage: Eukaryota; Metazoa; Chordata; Actinopteri; Cypriniformes; Leuciscidae. The record is from RefSeq and is a predicted model, not a curated record.
AACCAUAAACACAACAAUGUGGUGACGUAAUGGAGGUGCAACCAAUAACGUUAGUGUAUUGCUUCAAGCUGCGAGAAAAAUACUUUAAAAUUACAGCAUUCUUUCCCGAAGAAAAGAGAACAGUUCGAGGGCCUAAGGACGGGAAUCCGAUUGAGGAACACCCCAGAAAUGGCUCGGCUACGAUGUUCCGAUAAAGAAGUCACGCCGGGUGUUGAAUAUUGUCAGAUUCAGAUGCAUCAAUGAGAGUCAGUAAUGCAGUGGAUAACUAUGAGGAUGAUCACAUCCACAUGCCCCACAGCUGUGAUGCAGAAUCACAAUGGGAGGAUCAAUCUGUCUUUGGCCACAACCUGAUCUUCUCAGAGAGACUCUCCAGCGUCUUGAUGCUCUUUAGCGAAAGUAUGAGCAGCACAGACUAACGUUACAUGAAGAAUCUUACAACGCUUCGAAAAGAAUAAAAAAGGCACAUGACGUGAACAUUGCGGAAUCUGUAAGGCGCCUCCAUAAUUCAGAGAACAACCCACACAAAUACGUUCCACAAACCAGAAUAAAUUCAUCACAUAACCUGGCUGUGACCACUUACCUCUUCGAAGAAUUAAGGUCAACUUUUACAGACGUUGACCCUGAAUGUGUAAAAGCAGGUUGGAAGAUGUAUUUUGAGACUUUGCGGAGGAAGUAUUCUUUGGCUCAGCCUGAAAAGGCCCAGAAAAGAAAAACUAUGACGAGCAUUGCAAAGAACCUUCAAAGAAAGCGACUGUUGCUGGAGACCAGGUCCGGGGUUGUACAAACCAACACAGAAAAGGAACUUUGGAAGACCGCAACAAUAGAACUGAUGUCUGAUGAAGAUGAUGCUAUUGUUGAUGGAAGGCCAGUGUGAAUGGUGAGGUCUCCACCAAUCUGCUCUCUGCUAGGUACUAUAAAACAGACUAGAGGCUGACCCACACUAUGCGUCACACCACCAGCGUAUCAUGGCAGUUUGAAAAAUGUUAACUCGUAUAAAAAAAAAAAAAA